This 710-nucleotide long non-coding RNA is filed under the name Equus caballus (horse). RNAcentral describes it as "lncRNA (ENSECAG00000058055.1)". Lineage: Eukaryota; Metazoa; Chordata; Mammalia; Perissodactyla; Equidae. The record is from RNAcentral.
UGAGUGGAAUCCACUAGAACCGCCUCUACCUAAGAAAGUAAUAAACCAAAAGCAAUAUCACAUUCCUGGAGCAAUUGUAAAGAUUAAUGUCACAAUCAAAGACUUGAAGGAUGCAAGUAUGAAAUGAACACUGAUAAACUGAUAAAGAAGAAAGAUUUAUUGGAAGAAUAUCAGGGAUGCAUAAAACCAUGGGAGCAGAAGUGUGGAAAACAUGGAGGAAUCGAGGCGAGAUACUUUCUUUUUCAUGGACAUUGACCGAACAUCCAACUCCAGCCAGACAUUGACUGAACCUUUAACUCCAAGUAAAAGAAUGUGAAUCAUAACCACCAUCCUUCACAACUGCUGAAAUCAUCUGUUCAAAAGGCAGAACCCCUGAAUUGUAGAGAAGACAUCAUCGAUCUGCAAAUCUGGUCUUCACUCCUCUGUUCUUACUCUACUUAGGGAGAUACUCUGACCACACUCCCUGCAAAAAAACUCAUGGUUAACUGCUGGAGAUACAACCACGGCACUUCUCAGUCAGCUAGGUAUGGCAAUGAAAUUAAAUUCUUCCUAAUGGGUGCUAAGAGGAAAUGUAGAAUGGGAAAUCCGAAAUAGUGCUCAAAGUGAAAGAAUCCUACCUGCCAGCCACCAUGCCAGGACUCUACAGUCAAUAAGAAUCUGCUGCUGGUAAAUCCAUUCAAGAGCGUUAAUAUAUAACCGACACAGGAUCG